AGACCGAUAGCGAACAAGUACAGUGAUGGAAAGAUGAAAAGAACUUUGAAAAGAGAGUGAAAAAGUACGUGAAAUUGUUGAAAGGGAAGGGUUUGAGAUCAGACUCGAUAUUUUGUGAGCCUUGCCUUCGUGGCGGGGUGACCCGCAGCUUAUCGGGCCAGCAUCGGUUUGGGCGGUAGGAUAAUGGCGUAGGAAUGUGACUUUACUUCGGUGAAGUGUUAUAGCCUGCGUUGAUGCUGCCUGCCUAGACCGAGGACUGCGAUUUUAUCAAGGAUGCUGGCAUAAUGAUCCCAAACCGCCCGUCUUGAAACACGGACCAAG
Molecule: ribosomal RNA, 321 nt
Filed under: Trichosporon sp. CL124
Lineage: Eukaryota; Fungi; Basidiomycota; Tremellomycetes; Trichosporonales; Trichosporonaceae
Description: LSU rRNA
Rfam family: Eukaryotic large subunit ribosomal RNA
Source: RNAcentral